Molecule: ribosomal RNA, 516 nt
Filed under: uncultured bacterium
Lineage: Bacteria
Description: partial 16S ribosomal RNA
Rfam family: Bacterial small subunit ribosomal RNA
Source: RNAcentral
GACGAACGCUGGCGGCAUGCCUAAUACAUGCAAGUCGAGCGGAGUUGAUGGAAAGCUUGCUUUCCUGAUACUUAGCGGCGGACGGGUGAGUAACACGUAGGCAACCUGCCCUCAAGCUUGGGACAACUACCGGAAACGGUAGCUAAUACCGAAUACUUGUUUUCUUCGCCUGAAGGAAACUGGAAAGACGGAGCAAUCUGUCACUUGGGGAUGGGCCUGCGGAGCAUUAGCUAGUUGGUGAGGCAACGGCUCACCAAGGCGACGAUGCGUAGCCGACCUGAGAGGGUGAUCGGCCACACUGGGACUGAGACACGGCCCAGACUCCUACGGGAGGCAGCAGUAGGGAAUCUUCCGCAAUGGGCGAAAGCCUGACGGAGCAAUGCCGCGUGAGUGAUGAAGGUUUUCGGAUCGUAAAGCUCUGUUGCCAGGGAAGAACGCUUGGGAGAGUAACUGCUCCCAAGGUGACGGUACCUGAGAAGAAAGCCCCGGCUAACUACGUGCCAGCCGCCGCAGUAA